ACCUUGAAAUACCACCCUUUAAUGUUUGAUGUUCUAACGUUGGCCCCUUACCGGGGUUGCGGACAGUGUCUGGUGGGUAGUUUGACUGGGGCGGUCUCCUCCCAAAGCGUAACGGAGGAGCACGAAGGUUAGCUAAUCCUGGUCGGACAUCAGGAGGUUAGUGCAAUGGCAUAAGCUAGCUUGACUGCGAGCGUGACGGCGCGAGCAGGUGCGAAAGCAGGUCAUAGUGAUCCGGUGGUUCUGAAUGGAAGGGCCAUCGCUCAACGGAUAAAAGGUACUCCGGGGAUAACAGGCUGAUACCGCCCAAGAGUUCAUAUCGACGGCGGUGUUUGGCACCUCGAUGUCGGCUCAUCACAUCCUGGGGCUGAAGUAGGUCCCAAGGGUAUGGCUGUUCGCCAUUUAAAGUGGUACGCGAGCUGGGUUUAGAACGUCGUGAGACAGUUCGGUCCCUAUCUGCCGUGGGCGCUGGAGAAUUGAGGGGGGCUGCUCCUAGUACGAGAGGACCGGAGUGGACGCAUCACUGGUGUUCGGGUUGUCAUGCCAAUGGCACUGCCCGGUAGCUAAAUGCGGAAGAGAUAAGUGCUGAAAGCAUCUAAGCACGAAACUUGCCCCGAGAUGAGUUCUCCCUGAGACUUUAAGUCUCCUGAAGGAACGUUAAAGACGAUGACGUUGAUAGGCCGGGUGUGUAAGCGCAGCGAUGCGUUGAGCUAACCGGUACUAAUGAACCGUGAGGCUUAACCUU
RNAcentral lists this ribosomal RNA (742 nucleotides) under Klebsiella pneumoniae. Its description in RNAcentral is "partial 23S ribosomal RNA". It matches the Rfam family "Bacterial large subunit ribosomal RNA", at positions 2189 to 2925 of the family's 2925-position model. The record is from RNAcentral. Lineage: Bacteria; Pseudomonadati; Pseudomonadota; Gammaproteobacteria; Enterobacterales; Enterobacteriaceae.